ACCGAGUUCGGGUUUCAAGUAUCCAGAUUUGGGGUCGCCACAGUAGUGUUGGUUUGUUAUUUAGUUUUAGUGGACAAAUUUAAUUUCGUGUUUUACUGCCUAUAAAUUGUUUCAUUACAAUUAAAUCUGAACAUAUAUAAUUAUUUAAUUUGAUGGGAAUAUUUUUAGUUAUUUAAUAUUCAAAUCUUAUAAAUUUGAAUUUAUUGCCCU
This 210-nucleotide long non-coding RNA is filed under the name Panax ginseng (ginseng). RNAcentral's name for it is "long non-coding RNA (PGIN_LNC013872)". Lineage: Eukaryota; Viridiplantae; Streptophyta; Magnoliopsida; Apiales; Araliaceae. The record is from RNAcentral.